GAUGAACGCUGGCGGAGGGAGGAACACAGGAAAGUCGAACGGUGAACACGGAGCUUGCUCUGUGGGAUCAGUGGCGAACGGGUGAGUAACACGUGAGCAACCUGCUCCUGACUCUGGGAUAAGCGCUGGAAACGGCGUCUAAUACUGGAUAUGUGACGUGACCGCAUGGUCUGCGUUUGGAAAGAUUUUUCGGUUGGGGAUGGGCUCGCGGCCUAUCAGCUUGUUGGUGAGGUAAUGGCUCACCAAGGCGUCGACGGGUAGCCGGCCUGAGAGGGUGACCGGCCACACUGGGACUGAGACACGGCCCAGACUCCUACGGGAGGCAGCAGUGGGGAAUAUUGAACAAUGGGCGCAAGCCUGAUGCAGCAAAGCCGCGUGAGGGAUAACUGCCUUCGGGUUGUAAACAUCUUUUAGCAGGGAAGAAGCGAAAGUGACGGUACCUGCAGAAAAAGCGCCGGCUAACUACGUC
This 469-nucleotide ribosomal RNA is filed under the name uncultured bacterium. Its description in RNAcentral is "partial 16S ribosomal RNA". It matches the Rfam family "Bacterial small subunit ribosomal RNA", at positions 28 to 507 of the family's 1533-position model. The record is from RNAcentral.